This 254-nucleotide ribosomal RNA is filed under the name uncultured bacterium. RNAcentral's name for it is "partial 16S ribosomal RNA". It matches the Rfam family "Bacterial small subunit ribosomal RNA", at positions 524 to 776 of the family's 1533-position model. The record is from RNAcentral.
UACGAAGGGGGCUAGCGUUGCUCGGAAUCACUGGGCGUAAAGGGCGCGUAGGCGGCCAUUCAAGUCGGGGGGUGAAAGCCUGUGGCUCAACCACAGAAUUGCCUUCGAUACUGUUUGGCUUGAGUAUGGUAGAGGUUGGUGGAACUGCGAGUGUAGAGGUGAAAUUCGUAGAUAUUCGCAAGAACACCGGUGGCGAAGGCGGCCAACUGGACCAUUACUGACGCUGAGGCGCGAAAGCGUGGGGAGCAAACAGG